CCUACGGGUGGCAUCAGUGAGGAAUAUUGGUCAAUGGACGAGAGUCUGAACCAGCCAAGUAGCGUGAAGGAUGACUGCCCUAUGGGUUGUACACUUCUUUUAUAUGGGACUAAAAUGUUCCACGUGUGGGAUUUUGUAUGUACCAUAUGAAUAAGGAUCGGCUAACUCCGUGCCAGCCGCCGCGGUACUCUGGAGAGGCCGAGCGUUAUCCGGAUUUAUUGGGUUUAACGGGAGCGUAGGUGGAUUGUUAAGUCAGUUGUGAAAGUUGGCGGCUCAACCGGAAAAUUGCAGUUGAAACUGGCAGACUGGAGUACAGUAGAGGUGGGCGGAAUUCGGGGUGGAGCGGUGAAAUGCUUAGAUAUCACGAAGAACUCCGAUUGCGAAGGCAGCUCACUGGACUGCAACUGACACUGAGGCUCGAAAGUGUGGGUAUCAAACAGGAUUAGAUACCCUGGUAGUC
Molecule: ribosomal RNA, 460 nt
Filed under: uncultured bacterium
Lineage: Bacteria
Description: partial 16S ribosomal RNA
Rfam family: Bacterial small subunit ribosomal RNA
Source: RNAcentral